GGCGGGAACACGCUCUGGUACACAUCAAUCCUGAGCAUCCCAAACAUGCUCAAUGGGUGACAUGUCUGGUGAGUAUGCAGGCCAUGGAGGAACUGUGUCAUUUUCAGCUUCCAGGAAUUGUGUACAGAUCCUUGCAACAUGGGGCUGUGCAUUAUCAUGCUGAAACAUGAGGCGAUGGCGGCAGAUGAAUGGCAUGGCAAUGGUCCUCAGGAUCUCGUCACGGUAUCUCUGUGCAUUCAAAUUGGCAUCGAUAAAAUGCAAUGGUAAACAUUGUCUGUAGCUUAUGCCUGCCCAUACCAUAACCCCACCACCACCAUGGGGCACUCCAUUCACAAUGUUGACGUAAACAAACAGCUCACCCACACAACACCAUACUGCCAUCUGCCCGGUACAGUUGAAACGGGAUUCAUCCAUGAAGAGCACACUUCUCCAGCGUGCCAGUCACUAUUGAAAGUGAGCAUUUGCCAACUGAAGUCGGCUACGUCCGGGUUUGCGUCGUCCGGGUUUGGGAGGGUUUGGCCGGUAGGGAUAUCCUUGUCUCAUUGCGCACCAGUGGUGGGCCGGGCGCAGUGCACGCUAACCAAGGUUUCCUCCGACACAUUGGUGCGGUUGGAUGCGCGCUGGGUUAUGAAGCAGUGCGGCUUGGUUGGGUUGUGUAUCGGAGGACGCAUAACUUUCAACCUUCGUCUCUCCCAAGCCUGUACGGGAGUUGUAGCAAUGAGACAAGAUAGUAGCUACUAACUAUUGGAUACCAUGAAAUUGGGGAUAAAAAAAAAAAAAAAAAAAAAAAAAAAUAUAUAUAUAUAUAUAUAUAUAUAUAUAUAUAAAAAAAUAAAACUGAAAUAUGACAUUUACAUAAGAAUUCAGACCCGUUACUCAGUACAUUGUUGAAGCACCUUUGGCAAUGAUAUCAGGGUCAAGUCUUCUUGGGUAUGACUGACAUUCUUUUUUUCCAGAUCCUAUCAAGCUCUGUCAGGUUGGAUGCGGAGCGUUGCUGCACAACUAUUUUCAGGUCUCUCCAGAGACGUCCGACUGGGUGUAACCUCGAUAAUCAAUACACGGACGCAAACCACCAUCCUUUUUCUUCACAAAAAAGAAACUCGAGGAGACGGGUGACAUGGAUGGCCGAAUGUACCCCUGUCCCAGAGCUUCCGUGACAUAUGUCUCCAUAGCCAACAUCUC
Molecule: long non-coding RNA, 1182 nt
Organism: Oncorhynchus tshawytscha (Chinook salmon)
Lineage: Eukaryota; Metazoa; Chordata; Actinopteri; Salmoniformes; Salmonidae
Source: Ensembl